RNAcentral lists this ribosomal RNA (467 nucleotides) under uncultured bacterium. Its description in RNAcentral is "partial 16S ribosomal RNA". It matches the Rfam family "Bacterial small subunit ribosomal RNA", at positions 28 to 523 of the family's 1533-position model. The record is from RNAcentral.
GACGAACGCUGGCGGCGUGCUUAACACAUGCAAGUCGAGCGGAAAACUUCGGUUUUCAGCGGCGGACGGGUGAGUAACACGUGGGCAACCUGCCUCACAAUGAGGGAUAGCCUUCCGAAAGGAAGAUUAAUACCUCAUAACACAAGAGAAACGCAUGUUUCUCUUGCCAAAGAAUUUCGUUGUGAGAUGGGCCCGUGGCGCAUUAGCUUGUUGGUGAGGUAACGGCUCACCAAGGCUUCGAUGCGUAGCCGACCUGAGCGGGUGAUCGGCCACAUUGGAACUGAGACACGGUCCAGACUCCUACGGGAGGCAGCAGUGGGGAAUAUUGCACAAUGGAGGAAACUCUGAUGCAGCAACGCCGCGUGAGUGAUGAAGGUCUUCGGAUUGUAAAACUUUGUCUUCUGGGACGAUAAUGACGGUACCAGAGGAGGAAGCCACGGCUAACUACGUGCCAGCAGCCGCGGUAA